UACAGAGGUCUCAAGCGUUGUUCGGAUUCAUUGGGCGUAAAGGGUGCGUAGGCGGCGCGGUAAGUCGGAUGUGAAAUCUCCAGGCUCAACCUGGAGGGGUCAUUCGAUACUGCCGUGACUAGAGUUCGGUAGAGGAGUGUGGAAUUCCUGGUGGAGCGGUGAAAUGCGCAGAGAUCAGGAGGAACACCCGUAGCGAAGGCGGCACUCUGGGCCGAUACUGACACUGAGGAGCGAAAGCGUGGGGAGCGAGCAGG
RNAcentral lists this ribosomal RNA (254 nucleotides) under uncultured bacterium. RNAcentral describes it as "partial 16S ribosomal RNA". It matches the Rfam family "Bacterial small subunit ribosomal RNA", at positions 524 to 776 of the family's 1533-position model. The record is from RNAcentral.